GGACCAGCGAUCUGAAAUCCACAGUCUCUUUUUGGUAUCUGCUGUAUCAGAGGAGGCAGAAAGGAGUGAUGAAAAUAUUUGCACCUGGCCGCGUAAAUGCAGAGAGCAGAGACCUUCAGAUGCUCCUGUUGGCAGCUGCAGCUUUGUGUCACAGUGAUGGAGCUGAGCACAGAGCACCCUCCUCAGCUUCUUCUGCCUUAAGACUGCCUGCACUGCUUCAAGAGGUUCUCCCUGCAGAUACAUCAAACUGUGGCCUAAACACCAGGGUCUUUCAUCUUGCAUGACCGGUGGCAGAAACUAAUGGCAGAGGCUGGCCCUCCCCACCACACCUCCAUCAUUCUGCCCCUAGCAGGCUGUCCAGGUUUCCAAACUUGGACACAAAACUGGACAAUCUGACAAAUUUGGACACAAAAAGCGUUGGCAGGAUGCCAAGGUAACUGCAUAACAGUGAAGAUGGUGGGAAAAUGCUUCUCCAAACACCAUACCUUCUACCACAAGCCUGGUUCUUCACCUUUAUUUUUUCAUUUCCCAGCACACAGGAACCAGCUAGACCCAACCUUAACAAAGCACUGCCAGUAUGGUUUUUUAUGAGAAACACAUGUGCCAUAAACAAGACAGCUAAGAGGAAUAAGGAGAAUCUAAGUUAAAAUAUGGAAUCACCCUUAAAUAAGAAAAGCAGCUCACAAAGCAGUAUUACAAAAUAAAUAUGCAAAUUGCAAUGAGAAAAUAAAGAAA
Molecule: long non-coding RNA, 735 nt
Filed under: Cyanistes caeruleus (blue tit)
Lineage: Eukaryota; Metazoa; Chordata; Aves; Passeriformes; Paridae
Description: lncRNA (ENSCCEG00000015132.1)
Source: RNAcentral